CGUGGGUAACCUGCCUCAUAGAGUGGAAUAGCCUUCCGAAAGGAAGAUUAAUACCGCAUAAUGUUGAAAGAUGGCAUCAUCAUUCAACCAAAGGAGCAAUCCGCUAUGAGAUGGACCCGCGGCGCAUUAGCUAGUUGGUGGGGUAACGGCCUACCAAGGCGACGAUGCGUAGCCGACCUGAGAGGGUGAUCGGCCACAUUGGGACUGAGACACGGCCCAG
This 220-nucleotide ribosomal RNA is filed under the name uncultured bacterium. Its description in RNAcentral is "partial 16S ribosomal RNA". It matches the Rfam family "Bacterial small subunit ribosomal RNA", at positions 116 to 334 of the family's 1533-position model. The record is from RNAcentral.